AAGUGUUACAGCUCUUUUAGAAUUUGUCUAGCAGGUUUUCUGACUCCGGUUGGAAAACCCCU
RNAcentral lists this small nuclear RNA (62 nucleotides) under Mus caroli (Ryukyu mouse). RNAcentral describes it as "U7 small nuclear RNA (MGP_CAROLIEiJ_G0035443.1)". It matches the Rfam family "U7 small nuclear RNA". Rfam says of the family: Animal histone pre-mRNAs are spliced by a different mechanism than nuclear pre-mRNAs and self-splicing introns. This processing involves the U7 snRNP, which contains only one RNA species: U7. Lineage: Eukaryota; Metazoa; Chordata; Mammalia; Rodentia; Muridae. The record is from RNAcentral.